UGAUACUCCCUUACCGUCAAAGUCCGAGCGUUCAGAGCGUCGCAGGCAAUGAGUAGGGCUGCAUGAGAAAUGCAGGGGUGAGAUUCCCGUGG
This is a regulatory RNA element of Faecalibacterium prausnitzii, 92 nucleotides long. It matches the Rfam family "pemK RNA". The record is from Rfam. NCBI's taxonomy places the organism in Bacteria, Bacillati, Bacillota, Clostridia, Eubacteriales, Oscillospiraceae.